CCUCUCUCCUGUCCCCAGCCCCCGCUGAUUAGCUCUCCUCGCUGUCUGUGCAGGGAUCCGCAGCUGCCACCCGAAGAAGCUGGAGAAGGGACGAUUCGAGUUGCCAAUCCUAGGCAAAGGUGAAGGGACAGGAUCUCGUCCUCACAUCCUCCACCCAGGAUCCACGUCCGAUGGGGAAGUGCCUGCGGGGGUGCUGGCCAGGUGCCGGUGACGUCUGAGGACGGCAGGGUCUGUUUCUCCCCAGCGGAGUGGGCGGCGUUAGCGGAAUGGCGGAGGGAGCGGAACGAGCUGGUCACCUCGCUGAGUGAGGACGGUGUCUGGUGCACCGGUGAGAGGGGCCGGUGCAAACAGCUCCAGGUGAAAGAGUGAUCAGUCUGGACCCCCCCCCAUCCCCCACACAAGGCCGUGAGGCUGGCCUUGCGGCUGGGUGUAGCCAUGUCCGAAGAAUCGCACCCGUCAAAGGAGGGGGCAGGAUGGCCCAGCGAACUGGAGAUGGGCUGUGGAACCUUUUCUCGUGGCGUCACCAGUUCAAAUCCAGG
This 539-nucleotide long non-coding RNA is filed under the name Chelydra serpentina (North American snapping turtle). RNAcentral describes it as "lncRNA (ENSCSRG00000018888.1)". Lineage: Eukaryota; Metazoa; Chordata; Testudines; Chelydridae. The record is from RNAcentral.